CCAGCAGACGGUGUGUGAACGCGUCUCUACGCUGUCCGGCUGAGGUGCACUCUGUCCUGGUCAUCACCUUUUGUUUGACUUUAUAAUUUUUACUGGAACAGUCGUAAUGGCUGUAUUUUCUCACAGCCUUUUCCAGCAGUUCCUCGCCUAGUCCUGUCAGGAUAACAAAUUUUACUGGACGAUAGAUGGUCUCAGAAAUUAUUGCGAUAAAUGAUAAUAUUGUUGGAGAGCAGUAAAAACGAAUAUAAUGACAUAACAACCCCUGUUUAUGGAAGUUUACAUUGAUAUUUACAUAGUGUAAAAAUAAAAAAACUGUCGGCAAUCCCAAGGCAUCGCCAGCUGUAUGAAGGUGUCAGAAAACUGAAGACACUCCUCUGGCUAAAUGCCUGUUCACAGGCUGCUACAGAUGUAACACUGAGUCUGGACCCGCCUGUGGCCCCCCCCUCUGACGUCGAUACAAAAGGCGGAACCAAUGCGAUUGGCUCAUCAUUGUAGUCGGAUCCUUUAGUGCGUUGCACCACUGUAAACAACGGCCAGUUCAUGGUGAAAAAGAAGAGCGUGAAGUUACCAUCCACGAUUAUCACAACAAACAAUAUUGUGUUGUUACAAGACAUCAGCAAAUUUAAAGAUGAUCCACUGAUGCAGCCAGACCUAAAGUUGUUUCUGCGCACCUUGAUGGGGGACAGGAGGAGGAGCUUCAAGGCAGCCUGGUACCCCAUCCACCCCUGGCUUGAAUAUUCAAAACAGGUGGACUCUGCAUAUUGUUACGCUUGCAGACAUUUUAGCCCUCCCAAUAAGAGCCACAUAAAGAAGUGUUUUUUUUAGCUCUACAGACUCUGUAAAAUAGCAGUUGCAAUCCCAGUGAGUACUGCUUCCUGUGAACGGAGUUUUUCUAUGUUAAAUCUUGUGAAAACAUACGUCCGAUCCACCAUGAACGAUGACAGAUUAAGCAAUUUGGGUGUACUGACCAUCGAGUCUAGGAGGGCAAAGACGCACUGAGCCUUGAUUCAUUUGUUCAUCGUUUUGCCAGAAAUCACCCUCUGGUUCAUCAAAUCAGAAAUCAGUUUUUUUCAUUCGUCUGCUCAUAUUUUCUCCAGUACAGUAGAGUGUGUAAAGUUUUACAUUUGUGUCUCAUGUUAUAUUUUUAUUUUAUUCAAAAUAUAUGAUAUUUUGAACCAUUUGUUUGGUUACAAUAGUUAAUCACUGUUUAUUAAAAAUAAAGAUGAAUCAAAUACAA
Long non-coding RNA from Austrofundulus limnaeus, 1237 nucleotides. RefSeq lists it as uncharacterized. The transcript has 2 exons. NCBI's taxonomy places the organism in Eukaryota, Metazoa, Chordata, Actinopteri, Cyprinodontiformes, Rivulidae. The record is from RefSeq and is a predicted model, not a curated record.